This 362-nucleotide ribosomal RNA is filed under the name uncultured bacterium. RNAcentral describes it as "bacterial SSU rRNA". It matches the Rfam family "Bacterial small subunit ribosomal RNA", at positions 143 to 507 of the family's 1533-position model. The record is from RNAcentral.
AUAGCCGGCCCAACGGCCGGGUAAUACCGCAUACGCUUCCUUGGGGGCAUACCUGGGGAAGGAAACCUACGGGGCGAUUGGAGGGGCUCGCGGCCUAUCAGCUAGUUGGCGAGGUAACGGCUCACCAAGGCGAUGACGGGUAGCUGGUCUGAGAGGAUGGCCAGCCACAUUGGGACUGAGAGACGGCCCAGACUCCUACGGGAGGCAGCAGUGGGGAAUCUUGCGCAAUGGCCGAAAGGCUGACGCAGCGACGCCGCGUGGAGGAUGACGCCCUUCGGGGUGUAAACUCCUGUUGCCCGGGACGAAUGCCCCUUUUGAGGGGAGUGACGGUACCGGGUGAGGAAGCACCGGCUAACUCUGUG